Molecule: long non-coding RNA, 396 nt
Filed under: Physcomitrium patens
Lineage: Eukaryota; Viridiplantae; Streptophyta; Bryopsida; Funariales; Funariaceae
Description: long non-coding RNA (PPAT_LNC000150)
Source: RNAcentral
UUUAGGAUUUAGAAUUUAAGAUUUGCUUAGGAUUUGAUUAAGGUUUGGUUAGAAUUUAGAGUUGGACUAGAAUGUAGGAUUUGAACUAGAAUUUUUUUAAAAUUUAAGAUUUAGAAUUUAGGAUUUUCUUAGGAUUUGGUUAAGGUUUAGUUAAGAUUUAAGAUAGAAUUAGGAUUAAAGAUUUGAUUUAAGAUUUUUUUAGGAUUUAGGAUUUAAGAUUUGUUUAGUAUUUAGGAUUUAAUAUUUGUUUAAGAUUUGUUUAGGAUUUAGAAUUUGAUCUAAGAUUUGAUUGAAGUCUAUUAGGAUUUCAAGUAGGCUUAAAUUAAGACUUGAUUGAGAUUUAUUUAUGAUAUAUUUGUGAUUAUUCUAAUAUUUUUUUACAAUUUCUUAAGGAUU